CUACUUGGCAGUAUAGAAUGUUCUUUUAACUUUCCUCUUCCCAGCUCCUGAAGAGUCUCUGAGUCACCCUCACCCUCACCCCCACCCCCCAGGCAUUGCUGUAAAGGGACUCUAUUUAGCCUGGGACAUCAGGCUGUACUUUCUAAGGACUGCAGGGAAGAGGUCUGUGUUCCCUUCUUUCCAAAGAGUGCCCCCUACCUUUGUAUUUGCAAACAGGAAUCAAACUCAGUGCUGUCUGUCUGGUUUUACCAUCAGUUGGUUAUUAGAGAACAUUAUCUUCAAACCUAGUUUGGGGAAUGGUAGCCGUGCCAUCAAAAAUGACACUAGAUUAUUAUAUUUUGAAUUGCUAGUGUUAAAUCAUGCAGGACUAGGGUGUGACUCAAUGGCAGAACGUUUGCCAACUGUGAGUAAGGCUCC
RNAcentral lists this long non-coding RNA (417 nucleotides) under Rattus norvegicus (Norway rat). RNAcentral describes it as "long non-coding RNA NONRATT008149". Lineage: Eukaryota; Metazoa; Chordata; Mammalia; Rodentia; Muridae. The record is from RNAcentral.